AACGAACGCUGGCGGCAUGCCUAACACAUGCAAGUCGAACGAGACCUUCGGGACUAGUGGCGCACGGGUUCGUAACGCGUGGGAACCUGCCCUUAGGGUCGGAAUAACUCUCCGAAAGGGGUGCUAAUACCGGAUAAUGUCUUCGGACCAAAGAUUUAUCGCCUUUGGAUGGGCCCUCGUUGGAUUAGCUAGUUGGUAGGGUAAAAGCCUACCAAGGCGACGAUUCAUAGCUGGUCUGAGAGGAUGAUCAGCCACACUGGGACUGAGACACGGCCCAGACUCUUCCGGGAGGCAGGAGUGCGGAAUAUUGGAAAAUGGCGGAAGGGAUGAUGCAGCAAGGCCGCGUGAGUGAUGAAGGCAUUAGGGUUAUAAAGCUCUUUUAACCGGGAUGAUAAUGACAGUACCGAAAGAAUAAGCUCCGGCUAACUCCGUG
Molecule: ribosomal RNA, 433 nt
Filed under: uncultured bacterium
Lineage: Bacteria
Description: partial 16S ribosomal RNA
Rfam family: Bacterial small subunit ribosomal RNA
Source: RNAcentral